This 22-nucleotide ribosomal RNA is filed under the name Cetrelia japonica. RNAcentral's name for it is "partial 18S ribosomal RNA". The record is from RNAcentral. Lineage: Eukaryota; Fungi; Ascomycota; Lecanoromycetes; Lecanorales; Parmeliaceae. RNAcentral also lists the same sequence under 1 other name.
UGACCUGCGGAAGGAUCAUUAC